AGCGAACGCUGGCGGCAGGCCUAACACAUGCAAGUCGAACGAACCUUUCGGGGUUAGUGGCGGACGGGUGAGUAACACGUGGGAACGUGCCUUUAGGUUCGGAAUAACUCAGGGAAACUUGUGCUAAUACCGUAUGUGCCCUUCGGGGGAAAGAUUAAUCGCCUUUAGAGCGGCCCGCGUCUGAUUAGCUAGUUGGUUGAGGUAAUGGCUCACCAAGGCGACGAUCAGUAGCUGGUCUGAGAGGAUGAUCAGCCACAUUGGGACUGAGACACGGCCCAAACUCCUACGGGAGGCAGCAGUGGGGAAUCUUGCGCAAUGGGCGAAAGCCUGACGCAGCCAUGCCGCGUGAAUGAUGAAGGUCUUAGGAUUGUAAAAUUCUUUCACCGGGGACGAUAAUGACGGUACCCGGAGAAGAAGCCCCGGCUAACUUCGUG
RNAcentral lists this ribosomal RNA (434 nucleotides) under uncultured bacterium. Its description in RNAcentral is "partial 16S ribosomal RNA". It matches the Rfam family "Bacterial small subunit ribosomal RNA", at positions 29 to 507 of the family's 1533-position model. The record is from RNAcentral.